Long non-coding RNA from Portunus trituberculatus (swimming crab), 219 nucleotides. RefSeq lists it as uncharacterized. Lineage: Eukaryota; Metazoa; Arthropoda; Malacostraca; Decapoda; Portunidae. The record is from RefSeq and is a predicted model, not a curated record. The transcript has 3 exons.
AGGUAUGUCACUGCAGCCCAUCACCUGCUGUCGGUCAUGCCCUCACCGACACGACUACCAAGGAGGCUCAGUUGGUGAUGUCAUGGCCAAGCAGAGGACGAGGCUGCAACUUUCUGCAGUGUUUGCUGCUGGACGUGAGACAGGACACGACACGGUUGAGUGUGGUUAGCGGUAGAUUGAUAUCUCACAAGUAGCACACUUCUCGACGGAUAAAAGUAA